This 253-nucleotide ribosomal RNA is filed under the name uncultured bacterium. RNAcentral's name for it is "partial 16S ribosomal RNA". It matches the Rfam family "Bacterial small subunit ribosomal RNA", at positions 524 to 776 of the family's 1533-position model. The record is from RNAcentral.
UACGAAUCGUCCUAACGUUGUUCGGAUUCACUGGGUUUAAAGGGUGCGUAGGCGGUGCGUUAAGUCGGUGGUGAAAUACUUCGGCUCAACCGGAGAAUUGCCGCUGAAACUGGCGUGCUCGAGGGAGGUAGAGGUGCAUGGAACUUCCGGUGGAGCGGUGAAAUGCGUUGAUAUCGGAAGGAACACCUGUGGCGACAGCGGUGCACUGGACCUCUUCUGACGCUGAGGCACGAAAGCCAGGGGAGCGAACGGG